CUGCGUGCCCUUCGUUCUUCCUCGUCUCGAUCCCGACGACGCUCCGUUCGGCUCCGGCAAACCACAUCAAGUCGCGAUGGAGAUGAAGAAGGUCGCCUGCGCCGUCCUCGCCGCCGCCGCCUCCGCCACCGUGGUCCUCGCCGCCGAGGCCCCGGCGCCCGCCCCCACCAGCGCCUCCUCGGCCGCGUUCCCGGCCGUCGGCGCCGUGCUGGGCGCCUCCGUGCUCUCCUUCUUCGCCUACUACCUGCAGUAAAAUUAAAGGAGGAUCGGAGGGAGAGGCUGCUGGCUGCCAUUGCCUGUAUUCGGUUGGAUUCCGUUUAUAUAUAUAUUUAAGUACUUUAAUUUGGGUCUGAACAUGUCGAUUGAUCCAUUCAUUUUAUUUGCUUUGCCAUUUCUCCCUUUUCUGUUAAUUUCGAUAUGUAAAGAGGGGAGAAUGGGAGACACUAUUCGUUUGGACAUGACAAUUGGAAAUUAAUCAAUACCCAUUGUUAGUUAUGCUGUUGUCAUUUCAGCUUC
Molecule: long non-coding RNA, 516 nt
Filed under: Zea mays
Lineage: Eukaryota; Viridiplantae; Streptophyta; Magnoliopsida; Poales; Poaceae
Description: long non-coding RNA (ZMAY_LNC005345)
Source: RNAcentral